Ipomoea triloba (trilobed morning glory) is the source of this 887-nucleotide long non-coding RNA. RefSeq lists it as uncharacterized. The record is from RefSeq and is a predicted model, not a curated record. Lineage: Eukaryota; Viridiplantae; Streptophyta; Magnoliopsida; Solanales; Convolvulaceae. The transcript is spliced from 3 exons.
CUCAUUUGAGCCCCUUGCCUGCCUGGCUGCCUCUCCCACUCCUCACCUCAAACUCUCCUCAAGACAGGUGACAACCAUAGGGUCUCUGCCUCUCUGCCUCUCCGCCUCUCCGCCUCUCCGCCUCUCCGGAAACCCUAAAUCUGCCUUCGAGAGGUGACCUUCUCUGAAAUGUAACAAUCAGACAUUCAACCCCGGCACUGGCCAUGAAAUGUAACAAUCAGACAUUCAACCCCGUCUCUGGCCGUACUUCCGUUAGAAAGAUCGACGACGACGGUGUUGCCGCCAUUGAGCUCGCUGCCGGUGGGGUACAGGUUCCACCCGACGGACGAGGACCUCAUCAAUCACUAUCUGAAGCUGAAAAUCAACGGCUCGAAGGCUGAAGUCGGUGUGAUUCCCAAAAUUGACAUUUGUAAACUCGAGCCGUGGGACCUGCCUGGUUGAUGUGUUCUCCUUUAAUUUGGUAUUGUCUUAUGGGAGGUUCUCACUGGAGAGGAGCCUUAUGACAACACGCAUUACGGUGCAAUCAUAGGUGUGUUUCUUGGAUUCUCUUGUAUGUUGUUUCAGAUGAGCAAUCAGUGGAGUAAUUUUGAAAAGGCACCGGCUGGGAGUUUUAAGAGCAAAAUUCAUGGGUAAUCGAGUUCUUGCUUCUGUUUAGAACUGUUGCUUGACAUAUAUACUUCCAAUCUUCAUUGACAGGAAAAUGCUUGUGUCUAUGUAAUGAGAACCAUGAAGCACAUAAGGUCUUUCUUGAAAAUGUAUCUUUGGUCACUACUCACUACAGAUCCAUUUGUAUUCCGGUCCCCAAUAUUCUUCUCAAUUUAGUAGGUUAUGUUCUCAAUUUUGUAGUGUGUUUUUGUGCAUCUUAUAUUUGAAGUUUGGACUUUAGA